Molecule: ribosomal RNA, 457 nt
Filed under: Streptococcus mitis
Lineage: Bacteria; Bacillati; Bacillota; Bacilli; Lactobacillales; Streptococcaceae
Description: bacterial SSU rRNA
Rfam family: Bacterial small subunit ribosomal RNA
Source: RNAcentral
GACGAACGCUGGCGGCGUGCCUAAUACAUGCAAGUAGAACGCUGAAGGAGGAGCUUGCUUCUCUGGAUGAGUUGCGAACGGGUGAGUAACGCGUAGGUAACCUGCCUGGUAGCGGGGGAUAACUAUUGGAAACGAUAGCUAAUACCGCAUAAGAGUAGAUGUUGCAUGACAUUUGCUUAAAAGGUGCAAUUGCAUCACUACCAGAUGGACCUGUGUUGUAUUAGCUAGUUGGUGGGGUAACGGCUCACCAAGGCGACGAUACAUAGCCGACCUGAGAGGGUGAUCGGCCACACUGGGACUGAGACACGGCCCAGACUCCUACGGGAGGCAGCAGUAGGGAAUCUUCGGCAAUGGACGGAAGUCUGACCGAGCAACGCCGCGUGAGUGAAGAAGGUUUUCGGAUCGUAAAGCUCUGUUGUAAGAGAAGAACGAGUGUGAGAGUGGAAAGUUCACACUG